This 202-nucleotide RNase P RNA is filed under the name Campylobacter coli. RNAcentral's name for it is "partial RNase P RNA component class A". It matches the Rfam family "Bacterial RNase P class A", at positions 1 to 214 of the family's 367-position model. From Rfam's summary of the family: Ribonuclease P (RNase P) is a ubiquitous endoribonuclease, found in archaea, bacteria and eukarya as well as chloroplasts and mitochondria. Its best characterised activity is the generation of mature 5'-ends of tRNAs by cleaving the 5'-leader elements of precursor-tRNAs. Lineage: Bacteria; Pseudomonadati; Campylobacterota; Epsilonproteobacteria; Campylobacterales; Campylobacteraceae. The record is from RNAcentral.
AAAGCAUAGUAAAUGCUCGCUUCUUUAAAAAAAGAAGAGGAAAGUCCGAGCUGCAAAAGACAAACAUUCCAUCUAACAGAUGGCUAGGGCGACCUAAGGGACAGUGCAACAGAAAGAAAACUACCACAAAAGUGGAAAAGGUGAAACGGUGAGGUAAAAGCUUACCAGCGAUUUUGGCAACAAUUUCGGCUAUGUAAACCCA